RNAcentral lists this unclassified non-coding RNA (1253 nucleotides) under Hevea brasiliensis (rubber tree). The record is from RNAcentral. Lineage: Eukaryota; Viridiplantae; Streptophyta; Magnoliopsida; Malpighiales; Euphorbiaceae.
GGCAAUCAGAGUAGAUGUCCUGUCCCGUCAUUUCUAGAAUGCCCAUCUUCUUUUGUUGCAAUUGCAAGCCAUAAUUUGCAAGUGCAUCAUAUGUCGUUUUCAUAUAUUUCUAUAGUUUUAUGAUCCCCAAGCUGCCUAGCUUGAACCAUUUUUUUUUUUUUAACUCAAAUCUGUUUUUUAAUUGAGAUUUGCUAAUGAUAAAAAUUUUUCUUAAUUUUUAUUAUGAGUGACUUUUAUGCUUAUAAUAAAUGGAAAUGUUUAACAAAAAGAGGCUCUGUAAUGGAGUGAUUGAAAUACAGCUUCCCUUACUGAAGAGUAAAGGGGAAAAUCAUUGAAAGAUUGAAUUUUACACUUCCUGCAUGCGAUAUUUAUAUUUAAGAAUAAAAAAGACAAUAGGGAUUCUGUUAUUUGCUCAUUAAAUCAAAAGGGAGAUGCAAUGGAAUUGUUGAAGUUAUUUAUCUUGUUUAACAUAAUUCCUACUUGUUUGGUGGGUUCAUAUUCUUCCUUAUUCUUCCUUGUUUCCAAAGUUGUCAAAUUUGCAGCCUAGGAUUGGUGGGGGAUCUAUUACUUCAGAUCAUAAAUUUGUAAGAUUUCACUGAUUGAAGUCUCUAAAAAAAUAUUUGUACACAUAAAAAAGUUAUACAUGAGUUAUCUAGUGGAAUGGUAAUAUAAGAUUCGAAAAACCAACAUUUCCACCAUCAUAUCAUUAAUGUGAGAUAACUGAAAUAAAUUGAAUAUUUGAUAUGUUAAUAUUUAUUUAAACUGCAUAUUUCAAUAUCAAUUUAAAUUUGAAAAAGCAGUAAAUAACUCAAUAAGUACGUACGCGAUAUGCAUUUCAUUUCAUCUAUAAUAUGUAGAGAUGUACAUACCAAAGUAUGAAUAUUACCACAGCGUAAGAAUUAUAUAGUACUAUUUACUAGUAAUUAAGUAAUUUACAAUUUAAAACUUAAAACUUGAAAAUGAUGUCCCAGUAAAUAAGCAGCAAUGGCUUCCACACAUGAAAAGGCAAUAUUGUAAAUUACAAACAUUGACAUUGUUAAAUUCAUAUGAUUUUACUGUAAAAAAUUCUUAUAAUCAUUUUGAUUAUUUGAUUUUACUUCUUAUGUUCUGAAUUGUCUACAUAAUUCUAAAUUGUAAAGUCAUACCAGUCGGAUCCUGAUUUUGACUGCAAUGAUUGUUUCAAAUAAUGGAUUUGAAUCAUCUUAUUACUUGUCAAAUUUGUGCUUUUGCAGUCUCAUCAACAACAACCUGAU